RNAcentral lists this Y RNA (100 nucleotides) under Prolemur simus (greater bamboo lemur). RNAcentral describes it as "Y RNA (ENSPSMG00000012364.1)". It matches the Rfam family "Y RNA". From Rfam's summary of the family: Y RNAs are components of the Ro ribonucleoprotein particle (Ro RNP), in association with Ro60 and La proteins. The Y RNAs and Ro60 and La proteins are well conserved, but the function of the Ro RNP is not known. Lineage: Eukaryota; Metazoa; Chordata; Mammalia; Primates; Lemuridae. The record is from Rfam by way of RNAcentral.
GGUUGGUCCAAGUGCAGUGGUGUUUACAACUAAUUGAUCACAACCAGUUACAGAUUCCUUUGUUCCUGCUCCACUCCCACUGCUCCACUUGACCAGAAAA